This 444-nucleotide ribosomal RNA is filed under the name uncultured bacterium. Its description in RNAcentral is "bacterial SSU rRNA". It matches the Rfam family "Bacterial small subunit ribosomal RNA", at positions 15 to 507 of the family's 1533-position model. The record is from RNAcentral.
GAUCAUGGCUCAGAACGAACGCUGGCGGCAGGCCUAACACAUGCAAGUCGAGCGCCCCGCAAGGGGAGCGGCGGACGGGUGAGUAACGCGUGGGAACGUGCCUCUUGCUACGGAAUAGCCUCGGGAAACUGGGAGUAAUACCGUAUGUGCCCUACGGGGGAAAGAUUUAUCGGCAAGAGAUCGGCCCGCGUUGGAUUAGGUAGUUGGUGGGGUAAUGGCCUACCAAGCCGACGAUCCAUAGCCGGUUUGAGAGGAUGAUCAGCCACACUGGGACUGAGACACGGCCCAGACUCCUACGGGAGGCAGCAGUGGGGAAUCUUAGACAAUGGGCGCAAGCCUGAUCUAGCCAUGCCGCGUGAGCGAUGAAGGCCUUAGGGUUGUAAAGCUCUUUCAGUGGGGAAGAUAAUGACUGUACCCACGGAAGAAGCCCCGGCUAACUCCGUG